Molecule: transfer RNA, 64 nt
Filed under: Anolis inderenae
Lineage: Eukaryota; Metazoa; Chordata; Lepidosauria; Squamata; Anolidae
Description: tRNA-Cys
Source: RNAcentral
AGUCCAGAGGUGUUUCACGUCGAAAUGCAAAUUCGAAGAAGAGCCCUAAAAGGCUCCGGGGCUU